GACGAUACAAAAAACAUAAAUUUGUCAAUAUUUUUAAUAUACAAACUUUAAAAUCAGUUUAAAAUAGAUUCGUUGGCAAUUUUUAAUGACCCAAUUUUCGAGUUUGGCUCAUCUAAGUUUGUUAACAAAUCUGAUUCGAAUAUACUCGAGCUCGUCUAAAAAUAAUAAAUUAAAUUCGAAUAGGUUUAGAUUCGGUUCAUAAACAGCCCUACCUAAAGUCAAUGAUGCAUAAUCCAUUCAAUCCAAAAUCUAUAACUUACAAAUCGAUAAACACAUGAAACAUAAACUAAUUCCUCCAACUCUUUUGUGAUCCGUUUAACCCAUCCGAUUUGACAAACGAGCCCCAUCAGGAGCAUCUGCCUUCUGGUAUCAGGCCUGUGUGGGUGUCCAACUGUCCAUGGCCUAUCAGCAAGAUAUCAUUGUGUAAUUAAUCAGGCACCAACUAAAUAUGUCCUAAGAGUAUACUGAUGAAAUGAGAAACAAAUAUGAAACCGGGUAUGGAAACGUAAUAAUCCAUUCGGAAAGCGACAAAGCGUAGUGAAAAAAGGGAACUGGUAUUUAAUUUACCGUUUACCUUCACCGACUUACUCUCCCUAUAUAAACAGACUACCAGUCACCAGAACAAAAUGUUACCAGAGAAUAAAUUAGCAAACCCCGAGUAAAAAUUCAAAGCUAUCCGCGCGCAGCCAUGGCGAUCAACGGAUUAAUCUUGGAAGGUCCACAGACCAAAACAACAAGGAGCCGAUCUCCUCCUCCUCCGGCCGCGCCGUUCUCCAAAUCAGAGAUCGAGGUGGCCGAGCAUCUGGUGGUGCUCAGCAAUAGUACGGGCGGCAAUCGCGGUGAUAGUAGCACUGCUGGCAGCAGCAUCAACAACAACAAGGAGGCGGCGGCGGCGACGGAGGCGGAGGAGGAAGAGGAGGAGGAGGAGAUGCUUAGCCGGCGAAGGAAGAAAAGACGGACGAGGUCGCUGGAGAGUAUUUAUAAAGCUACAGUUCCGAUCAGUACUGUAUCUUCAUUUUUGUAAUUUUUUUGUUGACGGUUUUUAUACAUGAUGUAGAUUAAACCGUAGAGAAAAAACAGAGUAUGGUGUUAAUCGAGUAACAGAGUAUUGAACUUUCCCAUCGGAAAAUGGAAUGCGACGGUGGUUAACAUUGCUCCGAUCGAAUCUUGCCAUGCACAAACCAAUGCAGUCAUUGUACCAUUUUCUCCUAUCAACUCAAGUGGUUAAGAAGGUUCAGAAUUGUUAUAUUAUUCAUUAAUACAUCCUUCAAACAAAAAAAAUUUAUUUUAUUCCAUCAAUUCAAAAUAUUGGAAGCGAAAAGGAUAGAGGAUUCAGAUAAAUUUUUAUAUUAUUUAUUAAUAUACCCCUCACAAAAGUCUUUAUAAAAUGUGAGGUUUGUACAGUAUUCAUAAUUCAUAUGUAUAGAUUGGGAUUAUCAAGAUUCAAAAUGGAGACCUCUCGAUCUUUCCAAGCGCUGGUACUAUGUCAUGAACUCUUUCAUCUUAUUAAUUUAAAUUGUUGGAAAAAAGUUCGGAUUAACUUUUAUAUUAUUCAUUAACAAGAACUAACCUAGCCAGUUGUAAGAGAUUGGUGGUUUCGACUUAAACAAUAUAAUGGCAGAUUCAUAAUUAAAACAUGCACUUAGCCGGAUUUGAAUCGAAUUUUCCAUAUUUAGUAAUCAAUUUAUGAAUACAUUUUUAAAAAUAUAAUACUAAGGCGAAAUAUAUACAAAACAGAAAUCCGUUUGUGAUGUUUUUAGUUAAAGUAAGUUGUUAUUGAAAAUUGAAUGUGUCACCGGCGAUUUUUUCCCUACCAAAGUAAUUGUAAANNNNNNNNNNNNNNNNNNNNNNNNNNNNNNNNNNNNNNNNNNNNNNNNNNNNNNNUGAUUAAUAUGUAUCAAACAUUUUUUUGUAGGCAAAAUUAAAUCGAAAAUUACGUAGAUGAUCAAGUCGAAAUGUUAAUUACAAAAAAUGGCAACCCCCUCACUUACAGCGUUGUAGAGUCCCUCUAACGGCUGUUUUCUAAUGGUACUAACCUCAUUGUCGAAAAUUUCAACGGGUCGAUGUUGGUUGCGCUCGCCCCAAAGUAGUUCUCCAUCGAUCAGCUCAGGAUCGACACAAGGAGGUGUUGGUCCAUACAAGUAAUCCAUCCUACAACGGAAAAAAAUAUUAGUAGGUAAAAAUUGAGAAAUUUACAAAAAAAGAAAUACUAAUAUUACCGAUUAGUUGACCGCAAACAAUAAUUUGCUUGUCGGUAUCGAAAAUCAAAGGAGGAAGUGGAUGUGAUUAGUGAAUGUGU
RNAcentral lists this long non-coding RNA (2299 nucleotides) under Linum usitatissimum (flax). RNAcentral describes it as "long non-coding RNA (LUSI_LNC007510)". Lineage: Eukaryota; Viridiplantae; Streptophyta; Magnoliopsida; Malpighiales; Linaceae. The record is from RNAcentral.